GGUCCUAUGGCUUAGAUGGCAAAGUGCCUGCCUAGUAAGCAGGAGAUCACGAGUUCGAGUCUCGUUGGGACCU
Molecule: non-coding RNA, 73 nt
Organism: Daphnia pulex (common water flea)
Lineage: Eukaryota; Metazoa; Arthropoda; Branchiopoda; Diplostraca; Daphniidae
Source: Rfam